Molecule: ribosomal RNA, 253 nt
Filed under: uncultured bacterium
Lineage: Bacteria
Description: partial 16S ribosomal RNA
Rfam family: Bacterial small subunit ribosomal RNA
Source: RNAcentral
UACAGAGGUCUCAAGCGUUGUUCGGAUUCAUUGGGCGUAAAGGGUGCGUAGGCGGCGCGGUAAGUCGGGUGUGAAAUCUCGGGGCUUAACUCCGAAACUGCAUUUGAUACUGGCGUGCUUGAGGACUGGAGAGGAGACCGGAAUUCAUGGUGUAGCAGUGAAAUGCGUAGAGAUCAUGAGGAAGACCAGUGGCGAAGGCGGGUCUCUGGACAGUUCCUGACACUGAGGCACGAAGGCCAGGGGAGCAAACGGG